RNAcentral lists this ribosomal RNA (509 nucleotides) under uncultured bacterium. RNAcentral's name for it is "bacterial SSU rRNA". It matches the Rfam family "Bacterial small subunit ribosomal RNA", at positions 19 to 518 of the family's 1533-position model. The record is from RNAcentral.
CUGGCUCAGGACGAACGCUGGCGGCGUGCCUAACACAUGCAAGUCGAGCGGGGACAUGCGACGGAUCGAAAGUUUCGGACGGACGAGAGAUGUAUGUUCUAGCGGCGGACGGGUGAGUAACGCGUGAGCAACCUGUCCUUCACAGGGGGAUAACACAGCGAAAGUUGUACUAAUACCGCAUAAGACCACACCGGGGCAUCCCGGAGGGGUCAAAGGAGCAAUCCGGUGAAGGGUGGGCUCGCGUCCGAUUAGAUAGUUGGUGGGGUAACGGCCUACCAAGUCGACGAUCGGUAGCCGACCUGAGAGGGUGAUCGGCCACAUUGGGACUGAGACACGGCCCAAACUCCUACGGGAGGCAGCAGUGGGGAAUAUUGGGCAAAUGGGGGAAACCCUGACCCAGCAACGCCGCGUGAGGGAAGAAGGCUUUCGGGUUGUAAACCCCUGUUAUCAGGGACGAAAAUGACGGUACCUGAGGAGGAAGCUCCGGCUAACUACGUGCCAGCCGCCGC